This 89-nucleotide small RNA is filed under the name Chryseobacterium piscicola. RNAcentral's name for it is "Flavo-1 RNA". It matches the Rfam family "Flavo-1 RNA". The record is from RNAcentral. Lineage: Bacteria; Pseudomonadati; Bacteroidota; Flavobacteriia; Flavobacteriales; Weeksellaceae.
AUAUAGCCCUGAUUGCAGCGACAUCCUUUUUUGUUCGGGCUUGAAAAAAGCCUUGGCGAAAAAGAUACAGCGGAAAAGCAGGUUCCUGG